CGUCUGCCUGGCACGGCUUGUGUCAUCAUGGAUAAUCAGUGAAGUGGUAGCAGCCAGCUAACCCAGCACCAAUGCAAAGCUACCAGAGUGGCUUCUCUGACUGACUUACUACUCCUGGUAACCACAGUGGUGUUCUAGCAGGUUGAAUUGGAGAAAACCUGCAUGACCAAGUUGAGAAAAUGUGUCAAUCUCUCAAGUUUGAGAUAAUGUCUUCAUUU
Molecule: long non-coding RNA, 218 nt
Organism: Lemur catta (Ring-tailed lemur)
Lineage: Eukaryota; Metazoa; Chordata; Mammalia; Primates; Lemuridae
Exons: 3
Source: RefSeq, a predicted model, not a curated record